This is a non-coding RNA of Acinonyx jubatus (cheetah), 730 nucleotides long. Lineage: Eukaryota; Metazoa; Chordata; Mammalia; Carnivora; Felidae. The record is from the annotation of a RefSeq genome assembly.
UCAAAAAAGAACAAGAAAAGCUCAGGGCAGUGAAUCACAUUUUGCUCAGGAAAACCAACUCAAGAGUGGAAGGAUGGAGAAGUGGCCACUAGCUUCACUAGCAAUCUUUUGGCUGCAGCUGAGCUGGGUGAGCAGUGAAGACAAGGUGAUACAGAGCCCCCCAUCUCUGGUUGUCCAGGAGGAAGACAGUGCAACUCUCAACUGCAGUUACCAAGUGACCAACUUUCAAAGCCUACUUUGGUUUCAGCAGCAAGAGAACGCUCCUACCUUUCUGUUUAGACAAAUUUCAAAUGGGAUUCAGAAGUCAGGAAGGUUAAAAGGGACAUUAGAUAAGAAAGCACUUCUCAGCACCCUGCACAUCACAGCCACCCAGCUCGGAGACUCAGCUACCUACUUGUGUGCAGUGGAGGCACAGUGUGGUCUAGUCAGCUGCAGCCCGUCCCCAAAUAGUACAGCUGAGGCUCCUGCGACUGUUAGAUGGGGACCUUGCUAAAUCAGGCACAACCCCAAAAGUAAACUGUAAGGAAAAGCAACCAUCAGUUAAGACCCUCAUGCCCAUGUUGACAAUUACUUGUGGCUUACUGAGUCCGAUCCCUGCAUUCACUACCUUGUCUGUGCUUUUUAUGGACAUCUGCAUAACAAAUAUUUUUACAGGGUCACUCAUACAAUACCAACUCUAUAACAACACCAUCAUGCCCUGGGGGAGAAAGAAAGCCCUUUUGCCAGGAUU